This 642-nucleotide ribosomal RNA is filed under the name Armadillidium nasatum. Its description in RNAcentral is "16S ribosomal RNA". It matches the Rfam family "Bacterial large subunit ribosomal RNA", at positions 1689 to 2710 of the family's 2925-position model. Lineage: Eukaryota; Metazoa; Arthropoda; Malacostraca; Isopoda; Armadillidiidae. The record is from RNAcentral.
AUAAGUAAUAUAAGUGCACCAAUCUACCUGAUUUAAAUUAACCUAAUAAUAAAUAAAUUCAUAAACUAAGCAAAUAUAUUAUCUGCCUGUUUAACAAAAACAUCUCCUAAGUUUAAUAUUUUAGGUAGAGCCUGCUCACUGAUUUUAAAAGCCGCAGUAUACUGACUGUGCUAAGGUAGCAUAAUAAUUAGCUAUUUAAUUUGUAGCUGGAAUGAAUGGUCUGACAAGAUAAUAACUUUCUUAUUUCUGAAUUAAAUUAAUUAAAGAAUAAAAAAGUUCUUAUUUUAUAGAAAGACGAUAAGACCCUAAAACCUUAUAUGUGUAUUAUAUUUACUGGGGCGGUAGUUUUUAAUCCAAAAAUUUCACUAACAUUAUGAAUGAUUCUGAGUACUCGUAUAAUUCAAAAAGGUACUUUAGGGAUAACAGCAUAAUUUUUAUUUAGAGUCCUUAUCGACAUAAAAGAUUAUGACCUCGAUGUUGAAUUGAUUUAACUCUUUGGGGCAGAUUCUUAAGUAGUAGGUCUGUUCGACCUUCGAAUAAUCACAUGAUUUGAGUUCAGACCGGCGUAAGCCAGGUUGGUUUCUAUCUUCUAUUUAACUACAUACUUACUCAGUACGUAAGGACCUUUAAGUAUUAAUUUUU